Molecule: ribosomal RNA, 496 nt
Filed under: uncultured bacterium
Lineage: Bacteria
Description: partial 16S ribosomal RNA
Rfam family: Bacterial small subunit ribosomal RNA
Source: RNAcentral
GAUGAACGCUGGCGGCGUGCCUAAUACAUGCAAGUCGAGCGAACGGACGAGAAGCUUGCUUUUCUGAUGUUAGCGGCGGACGGGUGAGUAACACGUGGAUAACCUACCUAUAAGACUGGGAUAACUUCGGGAAACCGGAGCUAAUACCGGAUAAUAUUUUGAACCGCAUGGUUCAAAAGUGAAAGACGGUCUUGCUGUCACUUAUAGAUGGAUCCGCGCUGCAUUAGCUAGUUGGUAAGGUAACGGCUUACCAAGGCAACGAUGCAUAGCCGACCUGAGAGGGGGAGCGGCCAAACGGAAACGGAGAACGGGUCCAAACCCCUACGGGAGGCAGCAGUAGGGAACUUUCCGCAAUGGGCGAAAGCCUGAGGGGGCAACGCCGGGUGGGGGAUGAAGGUUUUCGGAUCGGAAAACUCUUUUAUUGGGGAAAAAAAAUUGGGAAAGUAAAUGGGAAAAUCUUGACGGUACCAAAGAAAAAAGCCACGGCUAACUACGG